Molecule: ribosomal RNA, 384 nt
Filed under: Hispoleptis cf. diluta LS-2014
Lineage: Eukaryota; Metazoa; Arthropoda; Insecta; Coleoptera; Chrysomelidae
Description: SSU rRNA
Rfam family: Eukaryotic small subunit ribosomal RNA
Source: RNAcentral
GUGCGGUUAAAAAGCUCGUAGUCGAAUUUGUGUCCCGCGCCGCCGGUUCAUCGUACGCGGUGUUAACUGGCGUGUCGCGGGACGUCCUGCCGGUGGGCCUAAGUCCGUAAGGGCGUCGGCCCGACCCAAUCCCGCCGCGGUGCUCUUCAUUGAGUGUCGAGGUGGGCCGGCACGUUUACUUUGAACAAAUUAGAGUGCUUAAAGCAGGCUAAAACUUCGCCUGAAUACUGUGUGCAUGGAAUAAUGGAAUAGGACCUCGGUUCUAUUUUGUUGGUUUUCGGAACUCCGAGGUAAUGAUUAAUAGGAACGGAUGGGGGCAUUCGUAUUGCGACGUUAGAGGUGAAAUUCUUGGAUCGUCGCAAGACGGACAGAAGCGAAAGCUUU